GACGAACGCUGGCGGCGUGCUUAACACAUGCAAGUCGAACGGAAAGGCCCUGCUUUUGUGGGGUGCUCGAGUGGCGAACGGGUGAGUAACACGUGUGUAACCUGCCCUUGACUUUGGGAUAACUUCAGGAAACUGGGGCUAAUACCGGAUAGGAGCUCCUGCUGCAUGGUGGGGGUUGGAAAGUUUCGGCGGUUGGGGAUGGACUCGCGGCUUAUCAGCUUGUUGGUGGGGUUGUGGCUUACCAAGGUUUUGACGGGUAGCCGGCCUGAGAGGGUGACCGGCCACAUUGGGACUGAGAUACGGCCCAGACUCCUACGGGAGGCAGCAGUGGGAAAUAUUGCACAAUGGGCGGAAGCCUGAGGCAGCAACGCCGCGUGCGGAAUGACGGCCUUCGGGUUGUAAACCGCUUUCGCCUGUGACGAAGCGUGAGUGACGGUAAUGGGUAAAGAAGCACCGGCUAACUACGUG
This 468-nucleotide ribosomal RNA is filed under the name uncultured bacterium. Its description in RNAcentral is "partial 16S ribosomal RNA". It matches the Rfam family "Bacterial small subunit ribosomal RNA", at positions 28 to 507 of the family's 1533-position model. The record is from RNAcentral.